UACGGAGGAUCCAAGCGUUAUCCGGAAUUAUUGGGCGUAAAGCGUCCGUAGACGUUUUCAUCAGUCUGGUGUUAAAUCUGGAGGCUCAACCUUCAGCUCGUACCGGAUACUAUGAGAAUCGAGGAAUGUAGAGGCAAGUGGAAUUCCAGAAGUAGGGGUAAAAUCCGUAGAUCUCUGGAGGAACACUAAACGCGAAGGCAUCUUGCUGGACAUUUCCUGACGUUGAGGGACGAAAGCGUGGGUAGCGAACGGG
RNAcentral lists this unclassified non-coding RNA (253 nucleotides) under uncultured Candidatus Altimarinota bacterium. RNAcentral describes it as "uncultured Candidatus Gracilibacteria bacterium contains 16S-23S intergenic spacer region". It matches the Rfam family "Bacterial small subunit ribosomal RNA", at positions 524 to 776 of the family's 1533-position model. Lineage: Bacteria; Candidatus Altimarinota. The record is from RNAcentral.